Molecule: ribosomal RNA, 1425 nt
Filed under: Staphylococcus xylosus
Lineage: Bacteria; Bacillati; Bacillota; Bacilli; Caryophanales; Staphylococcaceae
Description: 16S ribosomal RNA
Rfam family: Bacterial small subunit ribosomal RNA
Source: RNAcentral
AGUCGAGCGAACAGAUAAGGAGCUUGCUCCUUUGACGUUAGCGGCGGACGGGUGAGUAACACGUGGGUAACCUACCUAUAAGACUGGGAUAACUUCGGGAAACCGGAGCUAAUACCGGAUAACAUUUGGAACCGCAUGGUUCUAAAGUGAAAGAUGGUUUUGCUAUCACUUAUAGAUGGACCCGCGCCGUAUUAGCUAGUUGGUAAGGUAACGGCUUACCAAGGCGACGAUACGUAGCCGACCUGAGAGGGUGAUCGGCCACACUGGAACUGAGACACGGUCCAGACUCCUACGGGAGGCAGCAGUAGGGAAUCUUCCGCAAUGGGCGAAAGCCUGACGGAGCAACGCCGCGUGAGUGAUGAAGGGUUUCGGCUCGUAAAACUCUGUUAUUAGGGAAGAACAAAUGUGUAAGUAACUGUGCACGUCUUGACGGUACCUAAUCAGAAAGCCACGGCUAACUACGUGCCAGCAGCCGCGGUAAUACGUAGGUGGCAAGCGUUAUCCGGAAUUAUUGGGCGUAAAGCGCGCGUAGGCGGUUUCUUAAGUCUGAUGUGAAAGCCCACGGCUCAACCGUGGAGGGUCAUUGGAAACUGGGAAACUUGAGUGCAGAAGAGGAAAGUGGAAUUCCAUGUGUAGCGGUGAAAUGCGCAGAGAUAUGGAGGAACACCAGUGGCGAAGGCGACUUUCUGGUCUGUAACUGACGCUGAUGUGCGAAAGCGUGGGGAUCAAACAGGAUUAGAUACCCUGGUAGUCCACGCCGUAAACGAUGAGUGCUAAGUGUUAGGGGGUUUCCGCCCCUUAGUGCUGCAGCUAACGCAUUAAGCACUCCGCCUGGGGAGUACGACCGCAAGGUUGAAACUCAAAGGAAUUGACGGGGACCCGCACAAGCGGUGGAGCAUGUGGUUUAAUUCGAAGCAACGCGAAGAACCUUACCAAAUCUUGACAUCCUUUGAAAACUCUAGAGAUAGAGCCUUCCCCUUCGGGGGACAAAGUGACAGGUGGUGCAUGGUUGUCGUCAGCUCGUGUCGUGAGAUGUUGGGUUAAGUCCCGCAACGAGCGCAACCCUUAAGCUUAGUUGCCAUCAUUAAGUUGGGCACUCUAGGUUGACUGCCGGUGACAAACCGGAGGAAGGUGGGGAUGACGUCAAAUCAUCAUGCCCCUUAUGAUUUGGGCUACACACGUGCUACAAUGGACAAUACAAAGGGCAGCUAAACCGCGAGGUCAUGCAAAUCCCAUAAAGUUGUUCUCAGUUCGGAUUGUAGUCUGCAACUCGACUACAUGAAGCUGGAAUCGCUAGUAAUCGUAGAUCAGCAUGCUACGGUGAAUACGUUCCCGGGUCUUGUACACACCGCCCGUCACACCACGAGAGUUUGUAACACCCGAAGCCGGUGGAGUAACCAUUUAUGGAGCUAGCCGUCGAAGGUG